CUUGGGACCAGCCGGCUAGACGAGGAAGUGAGCCUGGAGCAGUGGUGGUCAGGGGCUCUUCCGGAGGCUGGAGGAGAAGAGAUUGGAGAUCUGAAUCCUAUUUUUCAACGCAUUUUUCUUUGAUCAGAAGAAUGGAAUUUUUUAUUUCUUAAAAAGUUGUCAUAUAUGCAAGACAGUGCAUUCCCCCACCCAUGUAGAGUUUGAAGAAGACUGGAACCCCCCUGUGCUCCCACUGGCACCGCGGGGGCGGUGUGAAUGGACACUGCGCUCCACGCACUCCCGGCCAUUCCUGUCUGUGGGUCUGCUGCUCUGACCUCUCCUUCCCUUGUCUGCACUCCACCCUUGGCCACAUCUUUGCUCCCGGCCCCACCUCUUUGGCCUGGACUGCCGCCCCGGCCCAACUGCCUCCUCCAGCGCAGGGGCCACCCCUCCACUAAAGACUGACUGGCUUCGGGGACCAUUUUCUUCCUGCAACUGCUCUUCCCGAGGAUCUCUGACUGCUCCUGUCUGUGGGAUGAAAGCCCAGCUCCACAUCCUGGUGAUUACUGAUUCCAACACACGUUCCCAAGCUCCCUGAGUCCUCACUUACUUCUCACCUACGCAAACCAUCCAAAUUCGUCCCCUCCCCAUUCCCUGAAUGUCCCCACCCCUCACUCCCCACCUAAAAGCCUCACUCCCUUGUUUCUCAAGCUGAAGGCUGCCUGCUCUGACCCUGACCAGCAUACUGGCUUCUGGGUCUGCUCCCGUUUGGCCUCCAGGCCAGAGCCAGAGCAUGGAGCCCGUGUGCAGACCCCUCCUGCGACCCUCUGGGCGCCCCUCAAAUGUUCCCCUCAGCUGCCCCAGGCCUCUAAUGUCCUGGGAAGUGCCCUGCACCUCCUGCAGCCUAGUUGGGGCUGGCAGACCAGGGUUCAGGUCUUUCCUCGUGGUGCCCACCUCAGCACACUUCAGCUCUUACCACCGAGGGAGUUACUGUUUUGUUUCUCACGUGCUAAGUAUUUAAUGUUUGUUGAAUAAAUG
Molecule: long non-coding RNA, 1017 nt
Organism: Zalophus californianus (California sea lion)
Lineage: Eukaryota; Metazoa; Chordata; Mammalia; Carnivora; Otariidae
Exons: 3
Source: RefSeq, a predicted model, not a curated record